AGAUAGAACUCUAUCUCCCUCCACUUUGCUAUUUAGGGGUUUGGGUAGCAAGACUUAAGAAAAAAGAAGCAAAAAAGAUAAAUAUUUCUUUCUCCAUUGAUUCAAUACUUUUCUGUCUCCAUUUUAAAGAUUCUGCAAACUACUUCAGAGGUUAUAAGAGUACUUCCAUUGAUGGUGAAGAUAAAGUACAUUCUGGAGUGUGUCAACAAAAGAUCAUUUCAAGGCAGAGCGCUGGGAACAAGGGACUUGAUGAAGUCGCAGGAGGACGUGCUGGAUAGAGCCUUCCUGGUCAUCAGCCAAGUGCGACAAGAAGCUACAGCAUUAGAGAUGUACCCCCUCACUGUUGCAAGCUGUUCCUGCUCUGCCCACUCUGUAACUGUCUCUAUUGUUCUAGUUAAACAUUUACUGCUGACUAAACGUUUACUAUGCCCUCCAGGUUUGCUAGGAGGGUAUAAAAUAAGAUGCUGUUCCUAAUAAAGUUUGCCAUUA
Suricata suricatta (meerkat) is the source of this 489-nucleotide long non-coding RNA. RefSeq lists it as uncharacterized. NCBI's taxonomy places the organism in Eukaryota, Metazoa, Chordata, Mammalia, Carnivora, Herpestidae. The record is from RefSeq and is a predicted model, not a curated record. The transcript is spliced from 3 exons.